This is a ribosomal RNA of Trichomalopsis sarcophagae, 110 nucleotides long. It matches the Rfam family "Eukaryotic large subunit ribosomal RNA", at positions 2875 to 2984 of the family's 3401-position model. NCBI's taxonomy places the organism in Eukaryota, Metazoa, Arthropoda, Insecta, Hymenoptera, Pteromalidae. The record is from Rfam.
CCUUCGAUGUCGGCUCUUCCUAUCAUUGCGAAGCAGAAUUCGCCAAGCGUCGGAUUGUUCACCCGCCAACAGGGAACGUGAGCUGGGUUUAGACCGUCGUGAGACAGGUU